GAUGAACGCUGGCGGCGUGCCUAAUACAUGCAAGUCGAGCGAACAGACGAGGAGCUUGCUCCUCUGACGUUAGCGGCGGACGGGUGAGUAACACGUGGAUAACCUACCUAUAAGACUGGGAUAACUUCGGGAAACCGGAGCUAAUACCGGAUAAUAUAUUGAACCGCAUGGUUCAAUAGUGAGAGACGGUUUUGCUGUCACUUAUAGAUUGAUCCGCGCCGCAUUAGCUAGUUGGUAAGGUAACGGCUUACCAAAGCGACGAUGCGUAGCCGCCCUGAGAGGGUGAUCGGCCACACUGGAACUGAGACACGGUCCAGACUCCUACGGGAGGCAGCAGUAGGGAAUCUUCCGCAAUGGGCGAAAGCCUGACGGAGCAACGCCGCGUGAGUGAUGAAGGUCUUCGGAUCGUAAAACUCUGUUAUUAGGGAAGAACAAAUGUGUAAGUAACUAUGCACGUCUUGACGGUACCUAAUCAGAAAGCCACGGCUAACUACGUG
RNAcentral lists this ribosomal RNA (497 nucleotides) under uncultured bacterium. RNAcentral's name for it is "partial 16S ribosomal RNA". It matches the Rfam family "Bacterial small subunit ribosomal RNA", at positions 28 to 507 of the family's 1533-position model. The record is from RNAcentral.